RNAcentral lists this transfer RNA (77 nucleotides) under Deltaproteobacteria bacterium. RNAcentral's name for it is "tRNA-Lys". It matches the Rfam family "tRNA". Rfam says of the family: Transfer RNA (tRNA) molecules are approximately 80 nucleotides in length. Their secondary structure includes four short double-helical elements and three loops (D, anti-codon, and T loops). Lineage: Bacteria; Pseudomonadati; Myxococcota; Myxococcia. The record is from RNAcentral. RNAcentral also lists the same sequence under 2 other names.
GGGCCGUUAGCUCAACUAGGCAGAGCACCUGACUCUUAAUCAGUAGGUUCUCGGUUCGAUUCCGAGACGGCCCACCA